AUCGCUUCUCGGCCUUUUGGCUAAGAUCAAGUGUAGAAGAUCAUUUCCAGGAAAACUUAACCCCUUUUUGAGGGCAAGGGUAAGAGCUGCUCUCUCAAACAUGGAAGAAGUGAGGAGACAAUCUCGGCUUUGAGGGAAUUUUUCCCCCACUCCCUGAUUUCUGCACUCUGGGGCUCAGGGCACCUCGG
Molecule: small nuclear RNA, 188 nt
Organism: Rattus norvegicus (Norway rat)
Lineage: Eukaryota; Metazoa; Chordata; Mammalia; Rodentia; Muridae
Product: U2 spliceosomal RNA
Source: Ensembl